UACAGAGGUCUCAAGCGUUGUUCGGAUUCAUUGGGCGUAAAGGGUGCGUAGGCGGCGCGGUAAGUCGGGUGUGAAAUCUCGGAGCUUAACUCCGAAACUGCAUUCGAUACUGCCGUGCUUGAGGACUGGAGAGGAGACUGGAAUUUACGGUGUAGCGGUGAAAUGCGUAGAUAUCGUAAGGAAGACCAGCGGCGAAGGCGGGUCUCUGGACAGUUCCUGACGCUGAGGCACGAAGGCCAGGGGAGCAAACGGG
Molecule: ribosomal RNA, 253 nt
Filed under: uncultured bacterium
Lineage: Bacteria
Description: partial 16S ribosomal RNA
Rfam family: Bacterial small subunit ribosomal RNA
Source: RNAcentral